AUUGAGAAUUUGAUCCUGGUUCAGGAUGAAUGCUGGCAGUGUACCUUAAGCAUGCAAGUCGAACGGAUGAGGCCGCAAGGCCAAAUCAGUGGCAGACGGGUGAGGAUUGACAGGAACCUACCUUUUGUUGGGGAAUAGCUCGCCGAAAGGCGAGAUAAUACCGCAUAAGAUCGCAAGAUGAAAGGCCUUAACCGGCCGACGAUAGAUGGGCCUGUUUGCUAUCAGCUAGUUGGUGAGGUAAUGGCUCACCAAGGCUAUGACGGCUAGGGGACGUGAGAGCGUGGUCCCCCACAAUGUUACUUAGACACGGAACAUACACCUACGGGUGGCAGCAACUGGGAAUUUUGCACAAUGGACGAAAGUCUGAUGCAGUGACACUGCGUGUAGGAUGAAGGCCCUCGGGUCGUAAACUACUGUGAUAGGGGAAAAAAUUUUGAUGGUACCCUAUUAGAAAGUACUUGCUAACUACGUGCCAGAAGCCUCGGUAAUACGUAGAGUACAAGCAUUAUCCGGAUUUAUUGGGCGUAAAGAGUAUCGUAGGCGGUCUAUUAAGUAACGGGUUAAAGCCCGGGGCUCAACCCCGGAGAUGUCCGUUAAACUGGUAGACUUGUGGAUGUUCGGGGUUACUAGAAUUCUUGGUGGAAGAGUGAAAUCUGUUGAUAUCAAGAAGAAUACCAAAAGCGAAGGCAGGUAACUAGGACAUUCCAGACGCUGAUGAACGAAAGCUAGGGGAGCGAAAGGGAUAGAGACCCCUGUAGUCCUAGCCGUAAACUAUGAACACUAGCUAUUUCCCGUAAGGGGAGUGGCGUAAGCUAACGCGUUAAGUGUUCCGCCUGGGG
This 839-nucleotide ribosomal RNA is filed under the name Candidatus Collierbacteria bacterium GW2011_GWD2_42_50. Its description in RNAcentral is "bacterial SSU rRNA". It matches the Rfam family "Bacterial small subunit ribosomal RNA", at positions 1 to 878 of the family's 1533-position model. The record is from RNAcentral. Lineage: Bacteria; Candidatus Collieribacteriota.